AUGAGGCCACGGCCGCCGGCUCUCGUGAGCAGCCUCCUCCUCCUCCUCCUACUAUUCGCGGUGCCGAGGCAUGCCGCCGCGGCGGGAGGGGACGGCGGUGGCAUGGUGCGGGUGGACGGCACGCGGUUCGUGGCGGGGGACGGCGACCGGACGGUGUACCUCAGCGGGUUCAACGCCUACUGGCUCAUGGAGAUGGCCUCCGACCCGUCCCGGCGGGGCGGGGUGGUGUCGGCGUUCCGGCAGGCGGCCGCGCACGGCCUCAACCUCGCGCGCACCUGGGCCUUCAGCGACGGCGGCGACCGACCGCUGCAGUCCUCGCCGGGCGUCUACCACGAGGACAUGUUCCAGGGCCUGGACUUCGUCAUCGCCGAGGCGAGGCGGCACGGGAUAUACCUCCUCCUCUGCCUCACCAACAACUUCGACGACUUCGGCGGCAAGCGCCAGUACGUCCAGUGGGCGAGGGAGGACGUCGCCGCCGGCGCCGCCGCCCACAACCUCACCUCCGCCGACGACUUCUUCAACUCCACCCUCGUCAAGUCCUACUACAAGAACCACGUCAAGACGGUGCUGACGAGGGUGAACACGGUGACCGGCGUGGCGUACAAGGACGACCCGGCCAUCUUCGGGUGGGAGCUGAUGAACGAGCCGCGGUGCGGCGCCGAGCCCACGGGCGCCCUGGUGCAGGCGUGGGUGGAGGAGAUGGCGCCGUACCUGAAGACCAUCGACGCCGCCCACCUGGUCACGGCGGGGCUGGAGGGCUUCUACGGCGACGGCGCGCACGAGAGCAAGGAGCUCAACCCGUGGGGCAUCUACUACGGCACCAACUUCGUGGCCACGCACCAGGCCGCCGGGAUCGACUUCGCCACCAUCCACCUCUACCCGGACGUCUGGCUCUGGGGCUCCACCGCCGACCAGCAGGCGCGCUUCUUCCGCAACUGGACGGCGUCGCAUGUCAGUGACACCGAGCGCCACCUCCGCAAGCCGCUCCUCGUCACCGAGUACGGCAAGUUCCUCUGGGAGGAGGGCGGCGAGAACGCCACGUCCGCCACGCAGAGGAGGGACCGCUUUCUCGGCAUGGUGCUCGACGCCAUCUACGAGUCGGCGUCGCGGGGCGGGCCGCUCGUCGGUGGGGCGUUCUGGCAGCUGCUCCUCGACGGCGACGGCAUGGACGCGCUCAAGGACGGGUACCAGAUAGUGCUCCCCGAGGACGCCCGCGCCGCCACCAUCAUCAGCGAUCACUCCGAGAAGAUGGCCGAGCUCAGCAAGCAGGUCGCGGCGGAGGCCGGUCGCCGGUGGAGUAGGAAGAUCGGCAGUUUUGUCAGCUGGGAUGGUACUCAUCCUUACGUCCAAAGAUUCUUGAUUCGUUUCGUCUCUCUGUUCAGAUCAGUUUCUUCACUGUUUGGUCCUACGAUACAUGUAGCUAGCUAG
RNAcentral lists this ribosomal RNA (1428 nucleotides) under Triticum aestivum (bread wheat). RNAcentral's name for it is "partial small subunit ribosomal RNA". The record is from RNAcentral. Lineage: Eukaryota; Viridiplantae; Streptophyta; Magnoliopsida; Poales; Poaceae.